This is a long non-coding RNA of Perca fluviatilis (European perch), 752 nucleotides long. RefSeq lists it as uncharacterized. NCBI's taxonomy places the organism in Eukaryota, Metazoa, Chordata, Actinopteri, Perciformes, Percidae. The record is from RefSeq and is a predicted model, not a curated record. The transcript has 2 exons.
UAACAUCUACAUGCUUCCACUGGCUCACAUUAUGGAAAACAACAAAAUAAGUUACCAUAGUUAUGCGGAUGACACACAAAUUUACAUAACCUCAUCGCCAGGGUACUAUAGUCCAAUACAACAACUGAAUAUGUGCAUUGAAUAAAUUAACGACUGGAUGUGCCUGAACUUUCUUAAAUUAAAUGAAGAAAAAACUGAGGUGGUUGUUUUUGGAGCAAAAGAGGAACAAUUAAAACUCAGCUUCAAACGACAAUGUUAUGGGUCAGUGUCUGUCUCCCUGUCCCAGCCUGUUUUCCUGUUCCCCUUUCCCUUGUGUGUGUGUGUGUGUUGUCUGUGUCUGUCUACAUGUCACUCAAGAGGAUCUAGGUCAAGGGGCGUGGCCACUCUCACCUGCUCUGCUCCAGCCAGCUGCAGAUCAUUCCAGUAAUCAACCAACACCCAGCUGCAGCUCAUUCCAGUACUCAACCAACAGUUAUCUACCCGGGCUGUUCACCUCUUCAGCGCCAGUUCGUUGCAACCAUUCCUGUGAUCCCGCCUCUGGACCUGCUGCUUUUCAGUUCUCAUCUGCCUCCUCGCUGCCUGCUCACCUCGCAACUCCGUUCUCAACCAGCCUUUCCACCCAGCUCUCGUCUUCGCUGCCUGGCCACACACCCGCCGUCUGAUCUCCAGCUUCGACUCCACCUGGAGCUGCUCUCCUGGCCAUUCCCUCCUGCACUAUCCACAUUGUGUCCAAUAAAACACUGCUAACCGCU